This is a long non-coding RNA of Bombus pascuorum, 2614 nucleotides long. RefSeq lists it as uncharacterized. NCBI's taxonomy places the organism in Eukaryota, Metazoa, Arthropoda, Insecta, Hymenoptera, Apidae. The transcript is spliced from 3 exons. The record is from RefSeq and is a predicted model, not a curated record.
GUAGCAGCUGCCUAACCCGCUCCCGCUCGCCGGCGCUGCCCGCGUACGGGACCUUGUCUUCCGGUAGCGCGCUGAAGUACAGGUGUACCUACGACACAUGGCGCGAGGGAAUGGUAAUUAAGAGCGAUUGGGACAGACGUGUUGUGAUAUAUCGGGAUUUUGCGUGUAUCUUGAUAAAUGGUUUGAUUGGUUUAAAGAAGCAAACAGGUUAGAAUAUAGUGUCUAGGGCAAGGGAGACAUAAUGAACUGGGAAUGAAAAAUCUUUGAAUGGAAAACUUCUUUCAGUAGAUUUAGUGACUAAUUUAGCUUUUCUUGAUUGUUUGUUGAUGUUACAAUAUCUUAAUAUGUACAUAUAUGGUUCGGUUGGUGAAGAGGUUAAGAAACGAAGAGGUUAGGAUAUAGAAUCUUGUGCAAAAGGAAUAAGAUUCAGUGAUUAAUUUAGUUUCUUUUAGUUGUUUAUUGAUGCAGUCAGUUUAAAUGCUCGGCUUUUUCGUAUAUUUGUUAGAAAUGAGGAGAAUAUUGUAAGUUGUAAAGAAAUGGAAGAACAUCAUUUUGAAAGGUUAAUAAGAGGUAUGUCCUUUUUAUGAAAAAUGAAGCAUUAUGUCCUAUAAUAUUUGUUUCUUGUAAUUGUUGUAUGAAUUUUAUGUGUUUAACUAACGUGACAUAAUUCAAAUUAAUAAUGAUCUUUCUUUAUGAAAAAAACUAGAAUUCAAUUGAUUAAUGCACCUGUGGGAUUGAUCAAUCAAGUCAGCUUUCAUAUCGAUAACGCGAUCAAGGAGUGUCAAUCGAUCGGCGCCUCCUGGAAACGCUUUUUGAUCAAACAGAACUUGAUAUGCUUCGAUUUAUUCGAUAUGGAAUAUCGAAUAUCUCUUUAAUUUCUGUGACGGCGAAUCUGAUAAAGCUGCACGUGCAUAAAUAAUUUCGAUGCUUGAGAAUGAUUGCUUCAAGAAUUCGCAGUGUCUCACAAUAAAAAGAAAAAUAAACGAAUAGAACAUGAUUACGAAAUUUCCUAUAUCCAUUGUGAGGGGAAUAAAAAUAAAAGUUUGGAUUAUACAAGUAAAUUUUUAAUGGAAGGGAUAGCAAGUUUUACGAGAUGAAUCGAGAACCUUAAACGUUUUAUGUAUCGACGAUCACGAUGCUCGAUAUUCAUCAUUCAUGAAUAAUUCAGAAAUGAAAUGCUUACAGUUACACGGGACACGUGACGGACUCCUCCCUUGGACAAAACACUGGAAUGGGUCUGCAAUGUUUUAUUUCGCUUACGGGAUCGACGUUUGACCCGAAUCUUUUCUCAUUUAUAUUUCGUUUCUACUUCUAACGUUUUUAUUAUGUAAAUAACUAAUUGUAAAUAGGAGAAAGGAAGAAGAAUAAUAUAGCAGUAAGUAUUUGCAUAUUUGCAUUUGGAGAAGAAUUUCAUUGUAAAAGUUCUUGAUAUCCUAAUCUCGCGAAUUCAACAUUUUUCAAACGAAACGUUAUAUCUUUCAGAUAACCUUAAUGCUCUUGAAUAAUAUGUAAAAAUGUUAAAGUUUUUCAAAAUUCUAGGCGUCGCGGGUAUCCUCUUUGUAACUGUCUCGAUAAAUCCUACGGAGAGAAAGUCAACCUUUAUGUAAAUCUAAAGUCACCACGUAUGGCGCAUGGAGUAUCAAGGUGCGCCCAUAUAGCUAAGUUCUGUAUGAGUUUUGUAACGUUCAAAUCUUUGGGUGACCUUUUUAAAAUUCUUUUGUUUCGUGAGCGUAAAAUUCUCUUGUCAUGAUCUUCGUUAUUUGGAAUUGAGAUUUGUAUUUUAAUUAUUUUCAAGAAUGUUUAAAUUACCUAGGCUUUUAGAAAUUCAAAAUUAGAAAACUUAAAGAGAGUGAAAUUCACAAAUUAAGAACUUCUAAACAAAAUCUAAUCGCUUAGAACACAUAUGUAUGUGUAUGUAAAGUAUUGCAAUAUGUAAAUUAUGCGACAUACAGGGUGUCCCAAUGUUUUGCGGCGAAAUGUCAGUACAUUCUAUAGGUCAAAGUAAGAAAAAUCUGUCAUAUAAAUAUAUGUCUUUAUUACUAUUUACAUAUAGCAAUGGUCAGAAGGUAUCAUAAUACUUCUACAACUCUAACUACAAUUCUAUUUUGAAAUAUUCAUCAUUUCGGCAAAAAAUUACUUUUUGAAGUUCUUGUUUAUUACUGGUUGAAGUUGGAAAACGAAGAAUUUCGUAUAUCAUUUUUUUUUUUUUUUUUUUUUUUUUAUAAUUCUUUGACAGUGCUUUCAAUGACUUAUUUUUGCAUGAUAUUUUGUUCUUAUCUUGACAUAUAGGACGUACUGACAAUGUUUGGCCACAAGUAACUCAGACAUUGCAUGUAAAAGAUUUUACACAAUGAUUAUUUUUAUAGGUAGUGGAAACACAGAUCACAUCAUGAACAUCAUGGUCACUUUACCGUUAAUCUAAUUUCUGCAACUUAACUUAAAAAAAAAAAUGGACAUUUCAACAACCACAUACAAGAAUAUAUAAUCGAUCAAUAUUAGUAGAUAUACCUUGAGUUAAAAAUAAGCUCUAACGGCCAGAAUACAAAGAUAAAAUCAAGGGACCAUAGUUAUGUCAGUAUUCUAAGCAUGUCGAAUAAGUUAUUUUCUUACUUGA